Molecule: non-coding RNA, 48 nt
Filed under: Schistosoma haematobium
Lineage: Eukaryota; Metazoa; Platyhelminthes; Trematoda; Strigeidida; Schistosomatidae
Source: RNAcentral
AUCCAGCUGAUGAGUCCCAAAUAGGACGAAACACUCACUGAAUUGGAU